RNAcentral lists this ribosomal RNA (460 nucleotides) under uncultured bacterium. RNAcentral describes it as "partial 16S ribosomal RNA". It matches the Rfam family "Bacterial small subunit ribosomal RNA", at positions 338 to 795 of the family's 1533-position model. The record is from RNAcentral.
CCUACGGGGGGCAGCAGUGAGGAAUAUUGGUCAAUGGGAGGAAUCCUGAACCAGCCAUGCCGCGUGCAGGACGACGGCUCUACGAGUUGUAAACUGCUUUUGUACCGGGGUAAAAUGCUCUACGAGUAGGGUUUUGAAAGUACGGUACGAAUAAGGAUCGGCUAACUCCGUGCCAGCAGCCGCGGUAAUACGGAGGAUCCGAGCGUUAUCCGGAUUUAUUGGGUUUAAGGGGUGCGUAGGUUGUUUUAUAAGUUAGCGGUGAAAUACCGAGGCUCAACAUCGGGGCUGCCGCUGAUACUGUAGGACUAGAGUACGGAUGCAGCAGGCGGAAUGUGUAGUGUAGCGGUGAAAUGCAUAGAUAUUACACAGAACACCGAUUGCGAAGGCAGCUUGCUAGGCCGGAUCUGACACUGAUGCACGAAAGCGUGGGGAUCGAACAGGAUUAGAUACCCUAGUAGUC